UAAUCCUAAAAUAUGACCCGACCUUCCUAUGUAUAUUACAUAUACCCAAAUGUUUAGGGUUUCCUAAUCCAUAGUUUAUCCGCCACAUCCCUCCAAAACCUAAGAAAGUAUUGUCUUUGCCGGUGUUCAACCAUUGUUUCCUCUUGAAAAUGUUCUAGAUGUGCUCUCCGGUUGUUGGGAAUGUUAAACCUUUUUGAUGCUUCAUUGAUUUUUUUGAUCCCUGAAAGUAACUACACAUCCAAUUAUGGCCGACAGGGAGAUGAAGAGAUGAUUGAAACCGCAAGUAGUUGGAUUGUAUUCUUCUCUAUAGGUGUAUAACUUGCACAAUUUUAUAAACCCUCCCCUGCACUGUGAGUCCUUUGUGCUGGCUACAUUAGAAUAGGAUAAAUAGCUAUGUAUGACAUUUGAUAAAACUGUGUUAUGUAAAUACUUGCAUAUGGACAAGUAUAUCUGUAGCUUUUUCAGCCUUUUCACCCCUUUGCUGGUUACACUCUUAUGUAUGGACAUUGAAUUUUAUCACUAUUUAGAAUCUUCUUGGCUAUUAUUUCC
This is a long non-coding RNA of Capsicum annuum, 549 nucleotides long. RefSeq lists it as uncharacterized. The record is from RefSeq and is a predicted model, not a curated record. Lineage: Eukaryota; Viridiplantae; Streptophyta; Magnoliopsida; Solanales; Solanaceae. The transcript is spliced from 3 exons.